This 74-nucleotide transfer RNA is filed under the name Candidatus Nealsonbacteria bacterium CG_4_10_14_0_2_um_filter_35_20. RNAcentral describes it as "tRNA-Met". It matches the Rfam family "tRNA". Rfam says of the family: Transfer RNA (tRNA) molecules are approximately 80 nucleotides in length. Their secondary structure includes four short double-helical elements and three loops (D, anti-codon, and T loops). The record is from RNAcentral. Lineage: Bacteria; Candidatus Nealsoniibacteriota. RNAcentral also lists the same sequence under 3 other names.
AGCGGGGUAGAGAAGUAGUAUCUCACCAGUCCCAUAAGCUGGAGACGUCAGUGCAAUUCUGACCCCCGCAACAA